Long non-coding RNA from Lotus japonicus, 1746 nucleotides. RefSeq lists it as uncharacterized. The transcript has 7 exons. The record is from RefSeq and is a predicted model, not a curated record. Lineage: Eukaryota; Viridiplantae; Streptophyta; Magnoliopsida; Fabales; Fabaceae.
AAUCAUCCAAGAAAAUCUGUCUUGCUUCUGCCACCGCUUCACAGGGUUCCUCUCCACACCGGCAACGUCCUUGAACUCAUCGGUCGCUCCUCAUCCGCCAAAACACACAUCCUCAUUCACGUCAGUAAUCAGUUCUCCCCUCUUCUCUUCUCCUUCAUCGCAAUCCCCCAAUUUCACUCCAUUCUUCAAAUUUCUGGUUGCAAUCAGUUGCAUUCAUCGUCGCCAGAUCUUCCGUUAACCUCUACCACAUUGCCGUCGUGCGCCGCCGCGGAGAUCAUCUUCUUCAACAGGUCUUGGGUUUUUUUUGCUGUCAAAACAAAUCUGAGAAAAAAGUGGUCAUUUGAAAAAGGGAGGGGAGAGGAAUCUUCUAUCCUACAAUUGAAGGUUUUAAAUUCACUGUUCAUGCACCAACUUUUUUUUUGGACGGGAUAACUAUUGGGCUGGGCCUAUUGAAUCAUGUGGUGGCCCCCUUCACUGCGCAACUUCACCCUCUGUUCUUCCUCUUGGCGUAGGAUUCUGUCAGCUUCACCCCUACACAGCCGUCAGAGAAGCUUUUUCCUCUCAACCACGAAUUUAUUCAGCCCUAGCCCCAACCUUUCAUCCCAUCCCUAUUCCCUAUUCCGUGCGUCCCAUCUGCUAUAUUCACAGGCACAGCUGUGUCGUCCUUGCUGUAUCUUCCAUUGCAGGAUUCUCGCUUGAAGAUGGCUGGCUGGCUGCUAUAACCUACGAAAUUUAUGUAGCACGUGUUCUCCUAUUUCGACUUUCCAUGCUUUCUUGCUUAUAGCUGCGCCUUUAAUGCUUCGCAGGUACCUGCAAGCUCUCAAAACAAGCUGGUGAUGUUGCUUUACAGCUGCUUUGGUAAGCUACUCUUCACGAUGGCAGGUUUGUGUUUGCGUUCCAGAUUCAAUCCUUAUCAAUGAAUAUAUAACUUCACUCAAUCUAUGAAGACCCGCAGAGAAACCUCAAGAUUGAUAUUAUGAGGCUGAAAAGAGAUCAUAUAAGGGUUUCAUGUUUGAACAUAUUCAGAUCUUGAUUUUUCAUCAAUGAAAGAGGAUGCUCAGCUGACUUUUGUUUAAUGUCUUGGAGCUGGAGCAUGCACUAAAAUAAUUGCCUACUCAAUGGAUUUGGUUAAUUGGUUCGAGUUGUGUAGGUUAUGGAUCAAGCUUAGGGCCUACACCCUAGAUCAGAAACCCACCUCCUCAUUCUGCUUUACAGUGCAGGUUGAGUAUUAUCCACGACUGAUUAGUUUUUGGGAACUCCUUGAUAAUUCUUUGGUCAAGCCAUCCUACAGUUAUUCAAGGUCUUGAUGUGGGUAGUUAGUUAAUACAGGUCUAUUAUUUUUUGUUAAUGGAACUUCAAGAAUGGCUGCUAUUAGUAAAGAACAUGAGUAAAGCAGCUCAUUGUCUUUUUGGGCAGCCUUGGAGUUCUAUCUGCUGAAAAUUAACUGACACCAAGUGAAUGAUUUUAUUGGUUUGCUUAUGAGAAAGAUUUAAUACUCUUUCUGUUGUAAGGCUCACUGACUUAAUAUUAGUGCUGAGUUCAACUGUGUGGCAAUUUGCUACUGUUUAGUUUAGAUCUAUAAAUAUUAUUGGAACGUGAUGGAUCAAGCAGAGAAGCAACACUUCAUGCCCUGGUUUGUUACUUUUUUAUGCAAGUUUAAUCGGUCAUAUUGUCAAAAGUUCCUGUUACUUUUGUCUUCCACAUGGCUUUCUAUAGCCUAUUAGUUUUUUUGUUUGAAUUCGGUAA